GCCGGGCAUGGUGUUACGUGCCUGUAGUCCCAGCUACUGGGGAGGCUGAGGUGGGAGAAUCACUUGAGCCCAGGAGGUAUAGGAUGCAGUGAGCCAUAAUCAUGCCAUUGCACUCCAGCCUGGACAACAGAGAGAGACCCUACCUCAA
This 148-nucleotide non-coding RNA is filed under the name Pan paniscus (pygmy chimpanzee). The record is from Rfam by way of RNAcentral. Lineage: Eukaryota; Metazoa; Chordata; Mammalia; Primates; Hominidae. RNAcentral also lists the same sequence under 1 other name.